CCUACGGGCGGCAGCAGUGGGGAAUAUUGCACAAUGGGGGAAACCCUGAUGCAGCGACGCCGCGUGAGUGAAGAAGUAUUUCGGUACGUAAAGCUCUAUCAGCAGGGAAGAAAAUGACGGUACAUGACUAAGAAGCCCCGGCGAACUACGUUCCAGCAGCCGCGGUAAUAAGUAGGGGGCAAAGGUUAUCCGGAGUUACUGGGUGUAAAGGGAGCGUAGACGGCAGCGAAAGUCUGGAGUGAAAUCACAUGGCUUAACCAGGGAACUGCUUUGGAAACUGUGCAGCUGGAGUGCAGGAGGGGUAAGCGGAAUUCCUAGGGUAGCGGUGAAAUGCGUAGAUAUUAGGAAGAACACCAGUGGCGAAGGCGGCUUACUGGACUGUAACUGACGUUGAGGCUCGAAAGCGUGGGGAGCAAACAGGAUUAGAUACCCGUGUAGUC
RNAcentral lists this ribosomal RNA (440 nucleotides) under uncultured bacterium. RNAcentral's name for it is "partial 16S ribosomal RNA". It matches the Rfam family "Bacterial small subunit ribosomal RNA", at positions 338 to 795 of the family's 1533-position model. The record is from RNAcentral.